GAAUUAAACAUGGCUUCUUCUUCUAAGUUAGUACUUGUAAUUUGUUUUAUGAUCAGUGCUUUUUGCAUUGCAAUUGGGGCCAAAUUCGAUCAAGAAUUUGAGAUAACAUGGGGUGAUGGCAGAGCAAAGAUACUCAACAAUGGGGACCUCCUAACUCUCUCACUUGACAAAAUCUCUGGCUCUGGUUUUCAAUCGAAGAAUGAAUAUCUCUUUGGUAAAAUUGACAUGCAGCUCAAACUUGUCUCUGGAAACUCUGCUGGCACUGUCACUGCUUACUAUGUAAUUCCCUUAAUUUCUUUUCUUAUAUAAUUUUUGAGCUAUACAUGUUUAUUGAGUUGAAAUGAAAUUGAACUUCUUUUUUGAAAAUUUAUUGCAGUUGUCAUCACAAGGACCAACACAUGAUGAGAUAGAUUUUGAAUUCUUGGGAAAUCUAAGUGGUGAUCCUUAUACUCUCCAUACUAAUGUAUUUAGCCAAGGCAAAGGAAACAGAGAACAACAAUUUCAUCUAUGGUUUGACCCUACUGCUGAUUUCCACACUUAUUCCAUCACUUGGAAUCCACAACGCAUCAUGUAAACAUUCAAUCUUUCUUCAAAUCUAACACAUUCUUUUAAGGAUAAAUCUUGAUUUGGGGUUCUCUUAUUUUUUGAUUGAACAGAUUCUAUGUGGACGGAACGCCGAUUAGAGAAUACAAGAACAGUGAAUCGAUGGGAGUUUCAUAUCCGAAGAACCAAGCAAUGAGGAUAUACUCGAGUCUUUGGAAUGCAGAUGAUUGGGCUACAAGAGGAGGACUUGUCAAGACUGAUUGGAGCCAAGCACCCUUUAGUGCUUCUUACAGAAACUUCAGUGCUAAUGCAUGUAUUCCCAGUUCUUCAUCUUCUUGCAGUUCCAAUACUACAACUUCAACAAGCAAUUCAUGGUUGAAUGAAGAGUUAGAUAACACAAGUCAAGAGAGGCUCAAAUGGGUGCAGAAGAAUUACAUGGUUUAUAAUUACUGCACUGAUUCUAAACGAUUUUCACAAGGAUUUCCAGCAGAUUGUGUUCAGAACAGCUAAGCAUUUACAGUGAAAAAUAGUGUAUUCUUUUAUUUAUUGUACUGAUUCUUUUAUUGUUCUGCAUCAACCAGAAGAUGCAUUAAUUAUUGAGGAUUAGAAACAUCUUAUUAUUGUAUUGACAAUGAAAUAGAUAUAUUCUUUUAUAGCUUAGUGUUUUGGAUAUGAAAAAUUAUGCUACUACAGCUCUUUUGCAAAGUACAAAAGAGGUGAAUUGGCAUCAUUUUUAAAAUUCCUAUCUAAAUUGAUGAGAAGGCGGGAGAAAAGUCAAAUUAUUUAACUUAAUUAUGUAAUAAUAUUUGUUUAAUCAAAUAAUCCAUUUCUAAUUACCCUAUAAUUGAUUAUGACAAAUAAAAAAAUCGUUAUAAUUACUAAAUUAUAUACUCCCUCCGUCCCAUUUUAUGUGAGGUUGUUUGACUCGACACAAAGUUUAAGAAAGAAAGGAAGACUUUUAAAACUUGUGAUUUAAAAUGAAUGAUAUAAAUUUGUGUGACGGUAAAUCAUUUCAUUAAGGGCAAAAUAGAAAUUUUAUAGUUAAAUUGAUAGUACUUAAUAUAUAAAUAUGUCAUUCUUUUUGGGAUUGACUAAAAUAUAAGUAAGUCAAAUAAAUUGGGAUAGAGGGAGUAAUUAUAUAAACAUCGAAUGAAUUAAAUGCACUUUGGAAAGUGCACAUGAUAAACAGUGAAAAGCCCAAUCGAAAAUGGUAAGAAACUGACCCAAUCUAAUUUCCUCCGUCACAAAAUAUUGUAUAUCAUUUAGAGCAACUUUCACAUAUAGCAAAUAAAAAAAUCAUAUUUGUAUGCUAUAGCAAAAUUUGCAUAAUUGCGUUCCAUAACAAACAUAUAUAUGUAUAAUUCGCUAUACAUAUACAAUUGAAAGCUGUCUAUUUCGCUAUACAUAUAUACAAAAAGAAGCAAUUGUAUAAUUCGUUGGCUCCUCUUCAGAAUUGUAUAAUUUCGUUGGCAGGCCAUUUGUAUAAAUUGUUGUUUAAGCCUUCUCGUUUGUAUAAAUUCGUUGACAAAAAUAUUUGUAUAUCAAAAAUCGCUCUCUUUCGCUUUAUACAAACAUAAAUUAUACAUUAUACAAACAUAAAACUGGGCAGGGGAAUGUUUUUAUUGUAUAAUUAUAAGUGUAUAGGAUGAAUAUACAUGUAUUUGCAUGUGUAUAUAUAAUUUUCUCGCGCUUUAUACAAAUAGAAACACAAUUUAUACAAUUCUGUUGUAUAAAACGAGAAAGAGAGAAAGGCAAAAGAGAACUGGGCAGAGAAAUAUUUUUAUUAUAUAAUUAUAAGUGUAUAAGACGAAUAUAUAUGUAUUUGCAUGUAUAUAUACAAUUUUCUCUCACUUUAUAUAAACAGAAACGCAAUUUAUACACUUCUGUUGUAUAAAGCGAGAGAGGCGAGCACAGAGGGAGUGAGCGAGAGAGGAGAGUGGCGAGCGAGAGUUUGAGGGAGAGAGGCGCUGACAAACAGUUUGCUACAUGACACAAUUAAAUCAAAAUGUGAUUAUACCAUUUAAUUUGAAUUAAUAGUUAGCCAUUAUGUACAAUUUUCCCUAUCAUUUAUAUGCCUUAAUCAACAAAUAUCAUAUAUUUAGUAAAAUAUCAAAUGAUUCACUCUUAAUUUUAAAUAGAGAUAUGACACAAGCAUUCUUAGACUAUGAUCGAAAUUUCGGAGAGACACAUAAACUUAACUAAGGUUCUAUCACCCCGAACUCAUUUUUUGAUAUUUUUGUGCACCUUUUAUGCUGACGUGACACCUUCAACCACCCAAGUUGACUGUGUUUGUACACAUGUGUCUGCCAUGUUUGUAAAUGUUUUCUAAAAUUUUUAAAUUUGUUUUUUUUUAAAAUAUUUUUAUUUUUUUUAUCAUAUAUUUAAAUUAAGUUAAUAUAUAUUUUCUUACCUUGUAUCUAAACUUUUUUUUUAAAACUUCAUUCAUUGUUUUUUUUCUUUUAUUUACUCUUUUUAUUUUCUUUGUCUUUCCUUUUGAUUUGAUUUCAAACAUCUUGUAUUUAAGAUAAGUUAAUUUCGAAGGGAUAGCAAAAUAAGUGAAGAAAUCAAAUUAAACAUUAAAAAAAUUAAAACGUUAAAAUUAAAGGAUGCUUUUUUUAAAAAAAAAAAUAAGUAUAAUUUUUAAAAAUAAUUAAAAGUGAAAAGAUAAGAAAUUAAUGAAAGAAAAAAUAUAAAAAGUUUAAAGUGAGAAACAAAAUAAAAUAAAUAUUUUACAAAGAAAGAAAUGUAAAUAAUUAAAUAUAUAUAAGUUUUAAUAUCAAUAAAUAAGUGUACUAACUAAUUAUAAAGUUACCACUUAAAAAAUUACAUGUGUUUAAUUUUGUUCACUCAUCACUUGCCUUAUAAUGUAUUUAUUUCAUUUUAAAUUAGUUUAGAAGGUAAUAGAACCCUUGUUAAGUUUAUACGUAUCUUUGAGAUUUCAGUCAUAAGAAAAAAGAAGAAGUCAUAUUCUAAGGAUACUUGUAAUUUUUAAAUACCUCGAUUUCUUUUAAAUCCAUCAGGUGAUACCAUUUCUAAUCUGACCAAAAAAAGAUACCAUUUCUAAUAUUCUGGACACCAUAUAGUGCACGAAACUUGUAUUUUCUUCUUGGUGUUUGAGCCUGGAGAAUCAUGGUUAAUAAAUAUUAAAUGAACGAAAAUCAAAUGCACAUUGGAAAGUAUACAUGAUAAAGAAAUGAAAUUAAAAAGGCCAAUCGAGGAGCAAAAGUUACACGAAUGUAGUAGAACUGUGGGAUUAUAUGCACAUCUUGAAUUGAAAUUUGUAAAAAGCCAGCUGGUUGGUCCACAGAUAAUAUAGCCACGCUAUAUAAUCCCCUGCUAGACAAAUAUUUUAAGGGGUGACUAAACCCAACUAGUAGAAAUAAUACAAUGUAGGUACACUUGAAUAAACAAAGGGAAACAAUACACAAGUUGAAGUAGUUCGAAUGAUCAACGAGAGUUGUAGUGUAGUGAUAAAUACUUCUUCAUUCUUAAUUAGAAGUUUUAGAUUCGAGUCUCCGGGGUAUAGAGUCGCCUUUGUUAGAGAGCCUAUUCGAUUUGAGAUUUUCCAAUGCGAAUUUAGAUUUAGUCGGACUCCAGUUCCAAUGAAAAUGAUAGUGUGAGGGUUGGAAAGACUCACCAUAUAUGUAUGGGCUGUCACUUAGCUUUGAUGCCAUCAUUUUUAAUCCUGUUUCCAGCUCAAUAUAUGCUCAAAUCUUUUUUUCCUGCUUUCGGUUUUACUUUGAACCUUCCUCUUUAUUUCCUUAAGCAUAACCCCACACGCUCUAGCUACUUCUUUGUUGCUGAAGUGGGGUGGUAUAAACCCUUAUAAAACCUCACUCCAACUCUAAUUCAUCCAACAAAUUAAAGUUUGAAAUCUUUAGAACUAAACAUGGCUUUUUCUUCUUCUAAGUUAAUACUACUUUUGAUGUGUUUUAUGAUCAGUGCUUUUGGCAUUGCAAUUGCAGCCAAGUUCGAUCAAGAAUUCGACGUCACAUGGGGUGAUGGCAGAGCAAAAAUACUCAACAAUGGCGACCUCCUUACUCUCUCACUUGACAAAAUCUCUGGCUCUGGUUUUCAAUCCAAGAAUGAAUAUCUCUUUGGUAAAAUUGACAUGCAGCUCAAACUUGUCGCUGGAAAUUCUGCGGGCACCGUCACUGCCUACUAUGUAAUUCCCUUAUUUUCUUUUUUCUUAAAUGAUUUUUGAGUUUAUUGAGUUGAAAUGGAAUUGAACUUCUUUUUUGAAAAUUUAUUGCAGUUGUCAUCACAAGGACCAACACAUGAUGAGAUAGAUUUUGAAUUCUUGGGAAAUCUAAGUGGUGAUCCUUAUACUCUCCACACUAAUGUAUUUAGCCAAGGCAAAGGAAACAGAGAGCAGCAAUUCCAUCUUUGGUUUGACCCUACUGCUGAUUUCCACACAUAUUCAAUCACUUGGAAUCCACUACGCAUCAUGUAAGUAAUUAAAGAUUCGAUCUUUCUUCAAAAAUAUGUGACUUUUUAAAUCAAAUCUUGAUUUGGGGUUAUCUUAUUUUUGGUUUAACAGAUUUUAUGUGGACGGAACGCCCAUUAGAGAAUACAAGAAUAGCGAAUCAAUGGGAGUUUCAUAUCCGAAGAACCAAGCAAUGAGGAUUUACUCGAGUCUUUGGAAUGCAGAUGAUUGGGCUACAAGAGGAGGACUUGUCAAGACUGAUUGGAGCCAAGCACCCUUUAGUGCUUCUUACAGAACUUCAAAUCUAACACAUUCUUUUGGGAUAAACCUUGAUUUGGGGUUCUCUUAUUUUUUGAUUGAACAGAUUCUAUGUGGACGGAAUGCCCAUUAGAGAAUACAAGAAUAGUGAAUCAAUGGGAGUUUCAUAUCCGAAGAACCAACCAAUGAGGAUAUAUUCAAGUCUUUGGAAUGCAGAUGAUUGGGCUACAAGAGGAGGACUUGUCAAGACUGAUUGGAGCCAAGCACCCUUUAGUGCUUCUUACAGAAACUUCAGUUCUAAUGCUUGUAUUCCCAGUUCUUCAUCUUCUUGCAGUUCCAAUACUACAACUUCAACAAGCAAUUCAUGGUUGAAUGAAGAGUUAGAUAACACAAGCCAAGAGAGGCUCAAAUGGGUGCAGAAGAAUUACAUGGUUUAUAAUUACUGCACUGAUUCUAAACGAUUUUCACAAGGAUUUCCAGCAGAUUGUCUUCAGAAUAGCUGAGCAUUUACAGUGAAAUUUUUUGUAUUCUUUUACUUUUGAUCUAUAAAACUAUUAUAUUGAUUCUUUUAUUGUUCUGCACCAACCAGUAGCAGAGGAUUACAAACAUCUUAAUUUUUAGUUUUGUUACUGAGGGAUCGUUUGGUGAAAUUACACUGUGUGUUUGCCCCAAGUUUUCUUAGGAAUAUUUGACUAUUUCAAAAAAUAUAAUUUAUUUCCAUAGUUCUAAAAACUAUUAAAAAUAUCCAUAAAUUUAUAUUAUCUAUUUAUAGUGAAUAUGCUCAAUUAAAAAAUAACCUUAUAACAUAAUUGAUAACAAUCAACAACAACAAAAUAACAAUAUAUGCAAGAGCAAUACAUUAAUCACAUAUUCAAACUUGUCAUUGAUUCGGUUAUAAUUAUAAUCCAUUAGAAACAAUUUGUUCUUUUUUCUCAAUUUUGUCACUGAAAUUAGAAUUCGGAUUCUUCCGGAGGAGGUGGUAACAAACUGUUCCUUAAUAUAAUUUUCCCACAUUCUACGGACAAUCUCUUCCCUACAAGCAUUCAUUGUUAGAUUAGAAGACAGAGAAGACAAAACAAUAUUGUUACUCUGAGUCGAUUGUUCGUCAUCUUCAUCAGUAACCAUAUCAUCACGUUUAUGUUCAUUGAAUAUUUCAUCACUGUUUUGAUUUUCACGCAAAAGAAUUAUGUAAUAUGGCACAAUCAACUACUACUUUCACUUGCAUGCCUAAAUCAUAGUUGUUCAUGUCUUGUUGUAGUAUUCUGAAUCUACUUUUCCACGCACCAAAUGUUCUUUCAAUUACAUUACGCAAAGAGACAUGUCUAUAGUUAAAUAACUCAUUGUCAUGCUUAGGCUCUCUUUCACUUUUCUUGUAGUCCUGCAAAUAAUAUCACAUUCCUUUGUUACUUAAUAGAUAGAGAUGUUUAAUAUGAUUGGUGAGCAUGUUGUUUAAUAGAUAGAGGAGUAAUCUUGUUAUUUAUUGGUAGUAAUAGAUAGAUAUGGUAGAUACAAAAUAAUGGAUUUUUUUUAUAAAAUAUAGAAGUUUGGGGGUGAUUUUUGAAUUUUUUAAAAUUCUCAAGUACUAUAACUUGACCCAAAAACUAGUUUUUUUUAGUAUUUGGAAACUUGAAAUUCUUGACAAAUAUAUUUGCCAAGUUAUGUAGCAAAACACCGCUGGCCAAGUGUUUUCCAAAUUUUUUCCAAGUUUUCCCAAGUUUUAUUUGGGGCCAAACAGGUCCUAUAUCUCUUGUUAUAUUUUCGGUCUAAAUAUACCACCUUCUAUUAUACUUUUGGUCCAAAUAUUUCAUUAUACUUUGACUCAAAUUUAUUCUCGAUCUUAACAAAACAAAUAUGUUUCAAGCUGAGAAUCAAAUAACUUGCUCUGAAUUUUAAAUAAUUUGAUUUCUUUUUAAAUCCAUUAGGUGAUACCAUUUCUAGUAUUCUGGAUACCAUAAAGUGCAGGGGAACUUUUGCCUAUUUUCUAAUAUUUUUGUUGUUUGAACAUGGAUGAUCAUGGUUAGUAAAAUAUUGAUCAAUGAUCAAAAUGCAAAUGCACAAUGGAAAGUGUACACGUUAAAUAAAUGAAAUUGAAAGGGCCAAUCGAGGAGCAAAAAAUUACCCGAAUGUAUUAGGAGUACAGCCGGAUUAGAUGCAUAUCUUGAAUUGAAAUUUGUAAAAUGUUAGCUGUUUGGUCCACAGAUAAUAUUGCCACGGGAUGUAACCUCUUGCUACUCAAAUACCUUAAGGCGGUACUGUAGGUACACUUGAAUAAACAAAGGGAACAAUACACAAGUUUAACUAGUUCCAAUAAUAACGAGAGUUAUGGUGGAAUGGUAAAUAUUUCUUCAUUAAAUUUCAAAUUAGAGUCUCACCUUUGUUAUAGAUCCUUUAUCCUCCAAUGUGGGUUUUUUCAAUGCAAAUUCAAAUUUAGUGAGGCUUUGAUAUAAAUACCGAACACCAAAUUAUAAAAAAAAACAAAAAAAACUAGUUCCAAUGAGAAUGAUAGUGCGAGUCUUGGAAAGACUGACCAUAUAUGGGCUGUCACUUAGCUUUGAUGCCAUCAUUUUUUAUCCUGUUUCCAGCUCAAUCUUUUUUUUCUUGCUUUCUGUAUUACUUUGAACCUUCCUCUUUAUUUCCUCAAGCCUAUCCCCACACGCUCUACCUACUUAUUUGUUGGUGAGGUGGGGGUGGUAUAAACCCUUAUAAAACCCCAUCUAGCUUUCCAACUCCAAUUCAUCCAACAAACUUUGAAAUCUUAAGAAUUAAACAUGGCUUCUUCUUCUAAGUUAGUACUUGUAAUGUGUUUUAUGGUUAGUGCUUUUGGCAUUGCAAUUGGAAACACGUUAGAUCAAGAAUUUGAGAUAACAUGGGGUGAUGGCAGAGCAAAGAUACUCAACAAUGGCGACCUCCUUACUCUCUCACUUGACAAAAUCUCUGGCUCUGGUUUUCAAUCGAAGAAUGAAUAUCUCUUUGGUAAAAUUGACAUGCAGCUCAAACUAGUCACUGGAAAUUCUGCUGGCACUGUCACUGCUUAUUAUGUAAUUCCCUUAAUUUCUUUUCUUAUAUGAUUUUUGAGCUACGUGUUUAUUGAAUUGAAAUGAA
RNAcentral lists this long non-coding RNA (8329 nucleotides) under Solanum tuberosum (potato). RNAcentral's name for it is "long non-coding RNA (STUB_LNC003831)". The record is from RNAcentral. Lineage: Eukaryota; Viridiplantae; Streptophyta; Magnoliopsida; Solanales; Solanaceae.